This is a small nuclear RNA of Salvia hispanica, 121 nucleotides long. RefSeq annotates it as U5 spliceosomal RNA. Lineage: Eukaryota; Viridiplantae; Streptophyta; Magnoliopsida; Lamiales; Lamiaceae. The record is from RefSeq and is a predicted model, not a curated record.
CAGCCGUGUAUCGAGCACGUAGCAAACUAUUCUUUCGCCUUUUACUAAAGAAUACCGUGUGCUCGUUGCUAUUUAAGCGGCAUACACCUAUUUUUGGAGAGGGUUGUCUAUUUGACAUCCC